UGGGGAAUGUUGCACAAUGGGCGCACGCCUGAUGCAGCCAUGCCGCGUGUGUGAAGAAGGCCUUCGGGUUGUAAAGCACUUUCAGCGGGGAGGAAGGCGGUGAGGUUAAUAACCUCACCGAUUGACGUUACCCGCAGAAGAAGCACCGGCUAACUCCGUGCCAGCAGCCGCGGUAAUACGGAGGGUGCAAGCGUUAAUCGGAAUUACUGGGCGUAAAGCGCACGCAGGCGGUCUGUCAAGUCGGAUGUGAAAUCCCCGGGCUCAACCUGGGAACUGCAUUCGAAACUGGCAGGCUAGAGUCUUGUAGAGGGGGGGAGAAUUCCAGGUGUAGCGGUGAAAUGCGUAGAGAUCUGGAGGAAUACCGGUGGCGAAGGCGGCCCCCUGGACAAAGACUGACGCUCAGGUGCGAAAGCGUGGGGAGCAAACAGG
This 429-nucleotide ribosomal RNA is filed under the name Chloroflexota bacterium. RNAcentral's name for it is "Chloroflexi bacterium partial 16S ribosomal RNA". It matches the Rfam family "Bacterial small subunit ribosomal RNA", at positions 355 to 776 of the family's 1533-position model. The record is from RNAcentral. Lineage: Bacteria; Bacillati; Chloroflexota.